CACCAUCUGGUUUCCUGACAAAAAGUGAAGAAAUCUGAGUUUGUCUUCACCCCACAUGGAUCAUGCUACUUUCCCUGGAGAUUUCAGCAUCAUCACUGUGGCUUCUUAUUUCACCAUGGCUCUCUUCUCUGUCACCAUCAGCUUCAGAGUCUACAAGUCUGUCAUUCAAGCUGUACAAAAAUCCAAGAAGGCCAUGCAAUUGAACUGUUUUCAGAGUUCAUAAAUUUGCCAUAAUUAUGAGAGUGACCACUUCAUUGGACCUCAAAACUCAUCAUUUGUCUGUUUCUGGUGGAAGAUCUGGCCAUCUUCAUGUGGCCAAUGACCUCAGUUGGUGUAGUUCCAUAGAACUGCCCUUCCAAUCUUUGCCAAACUGUACAUUUUCAGCAUUCCAAUGAAAAGUACAAACCCAGAUUGAUUAUUAUGUUGUGUUGCCAGGUAUCAGACCAAGACAAUUGUUGAAGGACCCAAGCAAAACUCUCUGGCACUCCAAAUAAAAAAGCAGAAUAA
RNAcentral lists this long non-coding RNA (507 nucleotides) under Homo sapiens (human). RNAcentral describes it as "non-protein coding lnc-PMCH-2:1". Lineage: Eukaryota; Metazoa; Chordata; Mammalia; Primates; Hominidae. The record is from RNAcentral.